AGCUUGCUCUCGGGUGACGAGUGGCGGACGGGUGAGUAAAGUCUGGGAAACUGCCUGAUGGAGGGGGAUAACUACUGGAAACGGUAGCUAAUACCGCAUAAUGUCGCAAGACCAAAGAGGGGGACCUUCGGGCCUCUUGCCAUCAGAUGUGCCCAGAUGGGAUUAGCUAGUAGGUGGGGUAACGGCUCACCUAGGCGACGAUCCCUAGCUGGUCUGAGAGGAUGACCAGCCACACUGGAACUGAGACACGGUCCAGACUCCUACGGGAGGCAGCAGUGGGGAAUAUUGCACAAUGGGCGCAAGCCUGAUGCAGCCAUGCCGCGUGUAUGAAGAAGGCCUUCGGGUUGUAAAGUACUUUCAGCGGGGAGGAAGGUGUUGUGGUUAAUAACCACAGCAAUUGACGUUACCCGCAGAAGAAGCACCGGCUAACUCCGUGCCAGCAGCCGCGGUAAUACGGAGGGUGCAAGCGUUAAUCGGAAUUACUGGGCGUAAAGCGCACGCAGGCGGUCUGUCAAGUCGGAUGUGAAAUCCCCGGGCUCAACCUGGGAACUGCAUUCGAAACUGGCAGGCUGGAGUCUUGUAGAGGGGGGUAGAAUUCCAGGUGUAGCGGUGAAAUGCGUAGAGAUCUGGAGGAAU
Molecule: ribosomal RNA, 636 nt
Filed under: Enterobacter sp.
Lineage: Bacteria; Pseudomonadati; Pseudomonadota; Gammaproteobacteria; Enterobacterales; Enterobacteriaceae
Description: bacterial SSU rRNA
Rfam family: Bacterial small subunit ribosomal RNA
Source: RNAcentral